GACGAACGCUGGCGGCGUGCUUAACACAUGCAAGUCGAGCGGUAAGGCCCUUUCGGGGUACGACGAGCGGCGAACGGGUGAGUAACACGUGGGUGACCUGCCCUCAGCUCUGGGAUAAGCCUGGGAAACGUGGGUCUAAUACCGGAUAUGACUCCAUGACGCAUGUUGUGGGGUGGAAAGCCUUGUGCGGCUGAGGAUGGGCCCGCGGCCUAUCAGCUUGUUGGUGGGGUGAGGCCUACCAAGGCGACGACGGGUAGCCGGCCUGAGAGGGCGACCGGCCACACUGGGACUGAGACACGGCCCAGACUCCUACGGGAGGCAGCAGUGGGGAAUCUUGCGCAAUGGGCGAAAAGCCUGACGCAGCGACGCCGCGUGAGGGAUGAC
RNAcentral lists this ribosomal RNA (384 nucleotides) under uncultured bacterium. RNAcentral describes it as "bacterial SSU rRNA". It matches the Rfam family "Bacterial small subunit ribosomal RNA", at positions 28 to 412 of the family's 1533-position model. The record is from RNAcentral.